UGGAUGCCCUGGCAGUCAGAGGCGAUGAAGGACGUGCUAAUCUGCGAAAAGCGUCGGUAAGGUGAUAUGAACCGUUACAGCCGGCGAUGUCCGAAUGGGGAAACCCAGUGCAAUUCGUUGCACUAUCGUUAACUGAAUACAUAGGUUAACGAGGCGAACCGGGGGAACUGAAACAUCUAAGUACCCCGAGGAAAAGAAAUCAACCGAGAUUCCCCCAGUAGCGGCGAGCGAACGGGGAGCAGCCCAGAGUCUGAAUCAGCUUGUGUGUUAGUGGAACGGUCUGGAAAGUCCGACGGUACAGGGUGAUAGUCCCGUACACCAAAAUGCACAGGCUGUGAACUCGAAGAGUAGGGCGGGACACGUGGUAUCCUGUCUGAAUAUGGGGGGACCAUCCUCCAAGGCUAAAUACUCCUGACUGACCGAUAGUGAACCAGUACCGUGAGGGAAAGGCGAAAAGAACCCCGGCGAGGGGAGUGAAAAAGAACCUGAAACCGUGUACGUACAAGCAGUGGGAGCACCUUCGGGUGUGACUGCGUACCUUUUGUAUAAUGGGUCAGCGACUUAUAUUCUGUAGCAAGGUUAACCGUAUAGGGGAGCCGCAGGGAAACCGAGUCUUAACUGGGCGUUAAGUUGCAGGGUAUAGACCCGAAACCCGGUGAUCUAGCCAUGGGCAGGUUGAAGGUUGGGUAACACUAACUGGAGGACCGAACCGACUAAUGUUGAAAAAUUAGCGGAUGACUUGUGGCUGGGGGUGAAAGGCCAAUCAAACCGGGAGAUAGCUGGUUCUCCCCGAAAGCUAUUUAGGUAGCGCCUCGUGAAUUCAUCUUCGGGGGUAGAGCACUGUUUCGGCUAGGGGGUCAUCCCGACUUACCAACCCGAUGCAAACUACGAAUACCGAAGAAUGUUAUCACGGGAGACACACGGCGGGUGCUAACGUCCGUCGUGAAGAGGGAAACAACCCAGACCGCCAGCUAAGGUCCCAAAGUCAUGGUUAAGUGGGAAACGAUGUGGGAAGGCACAGACAGCCAGGAUGUUGGCUUAGAAGCAGCCAUCAUUUAAAGAAAGCGUAAUAGCUCACUGGUCGAGUCGGCCUGCGCGGAAGAUGUAACGGGGCUAAACCAUGCACCGAAGCUGCGGCAGCGACACUAUGUGUUGUUGGGUAGGGGAGCGUUCUGUAAGCCUGCGAAGGUGACCUGUGAGGGUUGCUGGAGGUAUCAGAAGUGCGAAUGCUGACAUAAGUAACGAUAAAGCGGGUGAAAAGCCCGCUCGCCGGAAGACCAAGGGUUCCUGUCCAACGUUAAUCGGGGCAGGGUGAGUCGACCCCUAAGGCGAGGCCGAAAGGCGUAGUCGAUGGGAAACAGGUUAAUAUUCCUGUACUUGGUGUUACUGCGAAGGGGGGACGGAGAAGGCUAUGUUAGCCGGGCGACGGUUGUCCCGGUUUAAGCAUGUAGGCUGGUUAUCCAGGCAAAUCCGGAUAAUCAAGGCUGAGGUGUGAUGACGAGGCACUACGGUGCUGAAGUAACAAAUGCCCUGCUUCCAGGAAAAGCCUCUAAGCAUCAGGUAACAUCAAAUCGUACCCCAAACCGACACAGGUGGUCAGGUAGAGAAUACCAAGGCGCUUGAGAGAACUCGGGUGAAGGAACUAGGCAAAAUGGUGCCGUAACUUCGGGAGAAGGCACGCUGGUGUGUAGGUGAAGUCCCUGCGGAUGGAGCUGAGACCAGUCGAAGAUACCAGCUGGCUGCAACUGUUUAUUAAAAACACAGCACUGUGCAAACACGAAAGUGGACGUAUACGGUGUGACGCCUGCCCGGUGCCGGAAGGUUAAUUGAUGGGGUUAUCCGUAAGGAGAAGCUCUUGAUCGAAGCCCCGGUAAACGGCGGCCGUAACUAUAACGGUCCUAAGGUAGCGAAAUUCCUUGUCGGGUAAGUUCCGACCUGCACGAAUGGCGUAAUGAUGGCCAGGCUGUCUCCACCCGAGACUCAGUGAAAUUGAACUCGCUGUGAAGAUGCAGUGUACCCGCGGCAAGACGGAAAGACCCCGUGAACCUUUACUAUAGCUUGACACUGAACAUUGAGCCUUGAUGUGUAGGAUAGGUGGGAGGCUUUGAAGCGUGGACGCCAGUCUGCGUGGAGCCAACCUUGAAAUACCACCCUUUAAUGUUUGAUGUUCUAACGUUGGCCCCUUACCGGGGUUGCGGACAGUGUCUGGUGGGUAGUUUGACUGGGGCGGUCUCCUCCCAAAGCGUAACGGAGGAGCACGAAGGUUAGCUAAUCCUGGUCGGACAUCAGGAGGUUAGUGCAAUGGCAUAAGCUAGCUUGACUGCGAGCGUGACGGCGCGAGCAGGUGCGAAAGCAGGUCAUAGUGAUCCGGUGGUUCUGAAUGGAAGGGCCAUCGCUCAACGGAUAAAAGGUACUCCGGGGAUAACAGGCUGAUACCGCCCAAGAGUUCAUAUCGACGGCGGUGUUUGGCACCUCGAUGUCGGCUCAUCACAUCCUGGGGCUGAAGUAGGUCCCAAGGGUAUGGCUGUUCGCCAUUUAAAGUGGUACGCGAGCUGGGUUUAGAACGUCGUGAGACAGUUCGGUCCCUAUCUGCCGUGGGCGCUGGAGAAUUGAGGGGGGCUGCUCCUAGUACGAGAGGACCGGAGUGGACGCAUCACUGGUGUUCGGGUUGUCAUGCCAAUGGCACUGCCCGGUAGCUAAAUGCGGAAGAGAUAAGUGCUGAAAGCAUCUAAGCACGAAACUUGCCCCGAGAUGAGUUCUCCCUGAGACUUUAAGUCUCCUGAAGGAACGUUAAAGACGAUGACGUUGAUAGGCCGGGUGUGUAAGCGCAGCGAUGCGUUGAGCUAACCGGUACUAAUGAACCGUGAGGCUUAACCUU
RNAcentral lists this ribosomal RNA (2878 nucleotides) under Klebsiella quasipneumoniae. Its description in RNAcentral is "partial 23S ribosomal RNA". It matches the Rfam family "Bacterial large subunit ribosomal RNA". The record is from RNAcentral. Lineage: Bacteria; Pseudomonadati; Pseudomonadota; Gammaproteobacteria; Enterobacterales; Enterobacteriaceae.